This 1372-nucleotide ribosomal RNA is filed under the name uncultured bacterium. Its description in RNAcentral is "bacterial SSU rRNA". It matches the Rfam family "Bacterial small subunit ribosomal RNA", at positions 28 to 1381 of the family's 1533-position model. The record is from RNAcentral.
GAUGAACGCUGGCGGCGUGCCUAAUACAUGCAAGUCGAGCGAACGGACGAGAAGCUUGCUUCUCUGAUGUUAGCGGCGGACGGGUGAGUAACACGUGGAUAACCUACCUAUAAGACUGGGAUAACUUCGGGAAACCGGAGCUAAUACCGGAUAAUAUUUUGAACCGCAUGGUUCAAAAGUGAAAGACGGUCUUGCUGUCACUUAUAGAUGGAUCCGCGCUGCAUUAGCUAGUUGGUAAGGUAACGGCUUACCAAGGCAACGAUGCAUAGCCGACCUGAGAGGGUGAUCGGCCACACUGGAACUGAGACACGGUCCAGACUCCUACGGGAGGCAGCAGUAGGGAAUCUUCCGCAAUGGGCGAAAGCCUGACGGAGCAACGCCGCGUGAGUGAUGAAGGUCUUCGGAUCGUAAAACUCUGUUAUUAGGGAAGAACAUAUGUGUAAGUAACUGUGCACAUCUUGACGGUACCUAAUCAGAAAGCCACGGCUAACUACGUGCCAGCAGCCGCGGUAAUACGUAGGUGGCAAGCGUUAUCCGGAAUUAUUGGGCGUAAAGCGCGCGUAGGCGGUUUUUUAAGUCUGAUGUGAAAGCCCACGGCUCAACCGUGGAGGGUCAUUGGAAACUGGAAAACUUGAGUGCAGAAGAGGAAAGUGGAAUUCCAUGUGUAGCGGUGAAAUGCGCAGAGAUAUGGAGGAACACCAGUGGCGAAGGCGACUUUCUGGUCUGUAACUGACGCUGAUGUGCGAAAGCGUGGGGAUCAAACAGGAUUAGAUACCCUGGUAGUCCACGCCGUAAACGAUGAGUGCUAAGUGUUAGGGGGUUUCCGCCCCUUAGUGCUGCAGCUAACGCAUUAAGCACUCCGCCUGGGGAGUACGACCGCAAGGUUGAAACUCAAAGGAAUUGACGGGGACCCGCACAAGCGGUGGAGCAUGUGGUUUAAUUCGAAGCAACGCGAAGAACCUUACCAAAUCUUGACAUCCUUUGACAACUCUAGAGAUAGAGCUUUCCCCUUCGGGGGACAAAGUGACAGGUGGUGCAUGGUUGUCGUCAGCUCGUGUCGUGAGAUGUUGGGUUAAGUCCCGCAACGAGCGCAACCCUUAAGCUUAGUUGCCAUCAUUAAGUUGGGCACUCUAAGUUGACUGCCGGUGACAAACCGGAGGAAGGUGGGGAUGACGUCAAAUCAUCAUGCCCCUUAUGAUUUGGGCUACGCACGUGCUACAAUGGACAAUACAAAGGGCAGCGAAACCGCGAGGUCAAGCAAAUCCCAUAAAGUUGUUCUCAGUUCGGAUUGUAGUCUGCAACUCGACUACAUGAAGCUGGAAUCGCUAGUAAUCGUAGAUCAGCAUGCUACGGUGAAUACGUUCCCGGGUCU